UCCGGACGUCGGAAAUCAUUGCUAGAUGGUAACUUUGAUUAGUACAGAAAAUGAUUCCUGUGCUAUCGGCUAAGUGUUCGAAUCUAUAGAGUCACGCACAAAGUCAAGCGACAUAGUAAAAAAUUGACCUAAGUCUAUGAAUUCAAUUUAGAAGUAUGUAACUUGAUUGAAUGAAUAGAUUAGCUUGAUUAAAAAAUUAAGUUAGAGAUCAUACGGGAUUAAAUAGUUGACUGUGUCUAGCCAGCACU
This 248-nucleotide long non-coding RNA is filed under the name Elaeis guineensis (African oil palm). RNAcentral's name for it is "long non-coding RNA (EGUI_LNC003945)". Lineage: Eukaryota; Viridiplantae; Streptophyta; Magnoliopsida; Arecales; Arecaceae. The record is from RNAcentral.